AUGCAAGUCGCACGAGAACGCUUCAGCUUGCUGGAGCUAGUAAAGUGGCGCACGGGUGAGUAACGCGUGGGUAAUCUACCUCCAAAUUGGGGAUAACAUUGCGAAAGCGAUGCUAAUACCGAAUAAUAUCUCAAAAACUUCGGCUUUUGAGAUCAAAGGUGGCCUCUCCAUGGAAGCUACUGUUAGGAGAUGAGCCCGCGUACCAUUAGCUUGUUGGUAGGGUAAUGGCCUACCAAGGCAACGAUGGUUAGCUGGUCUGAGAGGAUGAUCAGCCACACUGGAACUGACACACGGUCCAGACUCUUACGGGAGGCAGCAGUGAGGAAUUUUGCGCAAUGGGGGAAACCCUGACGCAGCAACGCCGCGUGAGUGAUGAAGGCUUUCGGGUCGUAAAGCUCUGUCAAGUGGGAAGAAUCUGCCCUGUGCUAAUAUCACCGGGCACUGACGGUACCACUGAAGGAAGCACCGGCUAACUCCGUG
This 480-nucleotide ribosomal RNA is filed under the name uncultured bacterium. RNAcentral describes it as "bacterial SSU rRNA". It matches the Rfam family "Bacterial small subunit ribosomal RNA", at positions 55 to 507 of the family's 1533-position model. The record is from RNAcentral.